GGGUGUGUGGUGUAGCGGUUUAAGUGUUGGAUUGUGACUCUGGAGACCAGGGUUUCAAUCCCUGCCCAGCCA
Molecule: non-coding RNA, 72 nt
Organism: Phrynosoma platyrhinos (Desert horned lizard)
Lineage: Eukaryota; Metazoa; Chordata; Lepidosauria; Squamata; Phrynosomatidae
Source: the annotation of a GenBank genome assembly